This 269-nucleotide long non-coding RNA is filed under the name Elaeis guineensis (African oil palm). RNAcentral's name for it is "long non-coding RNA (EGUI_LNC020174)". Lineage: Eukaryota; Viridiplantae; Streptophyta; Magnoliopsida; Arecales; Arecaceae. The record is from RNAcentral.
UCACAAGAUCAUGCACAAACUUUAUUAUAUUCUCGUUAAAUGAAUGUUCGAGGAUACAAAUCAACAAUCAAAAUCUAAGAUCGAUAAAUAAUCUCAAAUUCUUUCUGAUAGAUAAAGAAGUUUAUACUUCAGAUCUAAGAGAAAAGAAAUGUAUUGCUAAAUAUUCCAAUCCAAGCUCAAGAAUCGAUGAUCUACUCAUCUUGACUUAGGAUGCUAAAAUUUUUUUUAGCAUGAUAGAUAGGAGAACUACUUACGAGAAUCACAUAACG